This 462-nucleotide ribosomal RNA is filed under the name uncultured bacterium. Its description in RNAcentral is "SSU rRNA". It matches the Rfam family "Bacterial small subunit ribosomal RNA", at positions 26 to 518 of the family's 1533-position model. The record is from RNAcentral.
AGAAUCAACGCUGGCGGCGUGCCUAACACAUGCAAGUCGAACGAGAAAGUGGUAGCAAUACCAUGAGUAAAGUGGCGCACGGGUGAGUAACACGUGACUAACCUACCCUGGAGUGGGGGAUAACUGAGGGAAACCUUAGCUAAUACCGCAUAACACCUACGGGUCAAAGGAGCAAUUCGCUUCAGGAGGGGGUCGCGGCAGAUUAGCUAGUUGGCGGGGUAAUGGCCCACCAAGGCAGUGAUCUGUAUCCGGCCUGAGAGGGCGCACGGACACACUGGAACUGAAACACGGUCCAGACUCCUACGGGAGGCAGCAGUGGGGAAUUUUGCGCAAUGGGGGAAACCCUGACGCAGCAACGCCGCGUGGAGGAUGAAGUCCCUCUGGACGUAAACUCCUUUCGAUCGGGACGAUAAUGACGGUACCGAGAGAAGAAGCCCCGGCUAACUUCGCGCCAGCAGCCGC